RNAcentral lists this ribosomal RNA (2154 nucleotides) under Triticum aestivum (bread wheat). RNAcentral describes it as "partial small subunit ribosomal RNA". Lineage: Eukaryota; Viridiplantae; Streptophyta; Magnoliopsida; Poales; Poaceae. The record is from RNAcentral.
AUGGAUAGGGAGAUUCCAGCCUUAAUGGGUGUUUCGAAGGCUAUAUUGGAUAAUGUUAUAUUUGUGCACCAAGACGAAUCCAAUUGGCCGUUACAGGACCCGUCAACACUUAAGAAAAAGUUUGACGACAUCUUUUCUGCUACCCGCUAUACCAAAGCUCUCGAAGUCAUAAAGAAACUUCAGAAGGACCAAGCACAAGAAAUCAAGACUUUUAGGUUAAAGCUGGAGAACCUUCAAACUCUUAAAGAUCAAGUAUACAGGCUUCGGGACAGUAUUGCGCAAGAUCAAGAGAAGUCAGAUGCCUUAAAAACUCAAAUGGAGGACCUGAAAACAAACAUCCAGGCUGUCGAAAACAAAAUCCGUCGUACCGAAACAAGUAUCAUGGACUUGAGGAGACUUCAGGAGCAAAUUAGCACCAAGGCAACAGCUAGAAGUACAUAUUUAACACUUCAGCAGCAACAGUAUGCUGCCCUUUCUGAGGAAAAUGAAGAUACCGAUGAGGAACUGAGGGAGUGGCAAACAACAUUUGAAGAAAAAAUUACGAUACUGUAUACGAAAAUCGGUAAACUUGAACGAGAGAUGAAUGAUGAAUAUACAAAAAUCUCUCUGCUAUCUGAGACCAUCAAUGAUUCAACACGUCAAAUAGGGAAGCUCCAGGCAGAAGCUGAUGCUCACGUGUCGGUCAAGCACGAACGAGACUCAGCCAUCAGAAAGAUAUUCAAUAAAUAUAAUCUCGGGCCAAUUCCUGAUGCUCCUUUUACUAAUGAUAUUGCUGCGAACCUUACAUACAGGACUAAAGCAAGACUAUCGAAUCUCGAGGACGAUUUGCAGGAAAAGAAGAAAUCUAAUGAGACACAGUUAGAGUUUCUUUGGGGACGUUAUCUCAAAGUAAAUGCUCGCUACUCUGAAGUUGAUGGCCAGAUACAAUCUAAGAAAGAAUCUAAGAUAGGUGUUUUAAGGCGUAUGAAAGAUAAAGAGACUGAACGAGAUGCUGCAGAGAUGGAGCUUUCAAAGCAUAAUCUGGCCCGUAUUGAUGAAAGAGAUCGGCAUUUGCAAAUUGAGGUCGAGAAGAGGACAAUUGCCUUGGGAGAAAGAGACUACGAUUUGAUUAUAAGUCAGAAGCGCCCAGAGAUAUAUGCCUUGGACCACAAGAUAAAAGCACUUCACCGGGAGAAAGAUAACAUAACUACUGAUGCUGAUGACAGAGUAAAAUUAGAACUGAAGAAGGAUGAAUUGGAAAAGUGCAAGAAGAAACUUAAAAAGAUAUAUGAUGAACACAAGGACAAAUUUAGAAGUGUUCUUAAGGGGAGGCUUCCUUAUGAGAAGGAUGUCAAGAAGGAGAUUACUCAAGCUUUUGGGUUUGUAGACGCGGAAUACAAUGAUUUGAGCUCAAAAUCUCUGGAAGCGGAACAGCAGUUGAAAUUGGCACAAAUGAAAAUUUCUGCUGCUAGAAGCCACUUGUCAAAGCUCCAAAAAGAUUUGGACGCAAAAAGAAACCAUCUGAAUUCGAAACUUCAACCCAUUACUAAGGUAUCUGUUGACAUCAACACUUACCCCAAGAUUCUGAAAGAUGCCAUGGACGACAGAGAUAAACAAACAAAUACGUACAAUUAUGCAAAGGGAAUGCGGCAAAUGUAUGAACCUUUUGAAAAAGUGGCCCGCCAGCAGCACAAGUGUCCUUGCUGUGAUCGUGCUUUCACACCUGAUGAAGAGGACCUCUUUGUAAAGAAGCAAAGGACUACAGGUACAAGUACCGCAGAGCGCCUGAAUGUACUGGCAAUCGAAUUAUCAAAUGCUGAAGAGUUUUUCGAUCAAUUGGAUAAUCUCCAUGUGGUUUAUGAUGAAUAUGUGAAACUGGGGAAAGAGACCAUACCUUUAGCAGAGAAGGAUUUGGAACAACUUUUGGCAGAUGAAAGUGAGAAGGCGCAGAUAUUCGAAGACCUUGUGAGUGCUCUUGCUCAAGUUAAAAUGGACAGGGAUGGAGUCGAAGUCUUGUUACAUCCAGUUGAUACUAUCAACAGGCAUGUGCAAGAAAUACAGGAGUUAGAACCACAAGUCAAAGAUCUUGAGUAUAAGCUUGAUUCUCGUGGCCAAGGUGUUAAAUCUGUCGAGGAAAUCCAGUUGGAGCUGAACUCUGUGCAGAGGGCAAGGUAA